UUUGACUAUGGGAAUGAAGUUCUCCCUUAGUGAUGAAACUAAAACCGCUGAUUUGGCUGAUGACUUCUGCAUUUUG
This is a regulatory RNA element of 76 nucleotides. It matches the Rfam family "Fluoride riboswitch aptamer (crcB RNA motif)". The record is from Rfam.